AUUGAACGCUGGCGGCAUGCCUUACACAUGCAAGUCGAACGGUAACGCGGGGCAACCUGGCGACGAGUGGCGAACGGGUGAGUAAUGCAUCGGAACGUGCCCAGUAGUGGGGGAUAGCCCGGCGAAAGCCGGAUUAAUACCGCAUACGACCUACGGGUGAAAGGGGGGGAUCGCAAGACCUCUCGCUAUCGGAGCGGCCGAUGUCAGAUUAGGUAGUUGGUGGGGUAAAAGCCUACCAAGCCAACGAUCUGUAGCUGGUCUGAGAGGACGACCAGCCACACUGGGACUGAGAGACGGCCCAGACUCCUACGGGAGGCAGCAGUGGGGAAUUUUGGACAAUGGGCGCAAGCCUGAUCCAGCCAUGCCGCGUGCGGGAAGAAGGCCUUCGGGUUGUAAACCGCUUUUGUCAGGGAAGAAAAGCUUCAAGCUAAUAUCUUGGGGUGAUGACGGUACCUGAAGAAUAAGCACCGGCUAACUACGUG
RNAcentral lists this ribosomal RNA (482 nucleotides) under uncultured bacterium. RNAcentral describes it as "bacterial SSU rRNA". It matches the Rfam family "Bacterial small subunit ribosomal RNA", at positions 29 to 507 of the family's 1533-position model. The record is from RNAcentral. RNAcentral also lists the same sequence under 1 other name.